GACGAACGCUGGCGGCGUGCCUAAUACAUGCAAGUCGAGCGAACAGACGAGGAUCUUGCUCCUCUGACGUUAGCGGCGGACGGGUGAGUAACACGUGUAUAACCUACCUAUAAGACUGGGAUAAUUUCGGGAAACCGGAGCUAAUACGGGAUAAUAUAUUGAACCGCAUGGUUCAAUAGUGAAAGACGGUUUUGCUGUCACUUAUAGAUGGAUCCGCGCCGCAUUAGCUAGUUGGUAAGGUAACGGCUUACCAAGGCAGCGAUGGGUAGCCGACCUGAGAGGGGGGUCGGCCACACUGGAAGUGAGACACGGUCCCGACUCCUGCGGGAGGCCGCAGUCGGGAAUCUUACGCAAUGGGGGAGAGCCUGACGGAGCAACGCCGCGUGAGUGAUGAAGGUGUUCGGAUCGUAAAGCUCUGUUAUUAGGGAAGAACAAAUGUGUAAGUAGCUAUGCACGUAUUGACGGUACCUAAUCAGAAAGCCACGGCUAACUACGUG
This 497-nucleotide ribosomal RNA is filed under the name uncultured bacterium. Its description in RNAcentral is "partial 16S ribosomal RNA". It matches the Rfam family "Bacterial small subunit ribosomal RNA", at positions 28 to 507 of the family's 1533-position model. The record is from RNAcentral.